GAGCGCCCUAAUUGCAGUGUUAGCAGAUAGUUUGGGACAGAUCUCUCUUGCUCUGAAUUUUUUUCAGCUGAUGGUAUUUAACUAAUUUUCCGUUAAAGAAAGUAAAGAAGUAGUCUCUGAAACAAAGGAGGAGGAAACAUACGGAAAGAAGUUUACCCUGAAAUACAGCUCUGCUCAUGGUUAGGCUAUUUAUUCAGGAGUCUACAGCCUUUUACCCCCUACUCUGUCUCUGUUGUAGAAAGUGCAUCUACUUAUUCAGCUUCUGAAAAGAGGUGAAAUGGCCCCUCAGUGUUAACCCAAGAAGGGAGGAGCAUCAGGAACAGGAGCCACUGCAAGAUAACCAAGAAUCAUGGGAAUCUUUUGCAAUCUGGCACACUCAGGGCAUCUACUGCAAGUUACACAGUGUUAGCCAUGUUGGGGCAGACCAACUUAAGCCUCUUGAGUAUAACCGUGGAACUGUAGCUCUCCAC
This 470-nucleotide long non-coding RNA is filed under the name Numida meleagris (helmeted guineafowl). Its description in RNAcentral is "lncRNA (ENSNMEG00000021746.1)". The record is from RNAcentral. Lineage: Eukaryota; Metazoa; Chordata; Aves; Galliformes; Numididae.